RNAcentral lists this ribosomal RNA (253 nucleotides) under uncultured bacterium. RNAcentral describes it as "partial 16S ribosomal RNA". It matches the Rfam family "Bacterial small subunit ribosomal RNA", at positions 524 to 776 of the family's 1533-position model. The record is from RNAcentral.
UACAGAGGGUGCGAGCGUUAAUCGGAAUUACUGGGCGUAAAGCGCACGUAGGUGGCGACGUAAGUCGGGUGUGAAAGCCCCGGGCUCAACCCGGGAAUUGCAUUCGAGACUGCAUUGCUGGAGUACGGAAGAGGAAGGCGGAAUUCCCGGUGUAGCGGUGAAAUGCGUAGAUAUCUGGAGGAACACCGGUGGCGAAGGCGGCAUCCUGGACCGGCAUUGACGCUGAGGCGCGAAAGCCAGGGGAGCAAACGGG